This 418-nucleotide ribosomal RNA is filed under the name uncultured bacterium. Its description in RNAcentral is "bacterial SSU rRNA". It matches the Rfam family "Bacterial small subunit ribosomal RNA", at positions 9 to 421 of the family's 1533-position model. The record is from RNAcentral.
GAGUUUGAUCCUGGCUCAGAGUGAACGCUGGCGGCAGGCCUAACACAUGCAAGUCGAGCGGCAGCACGGCCAUAGCAAUAUGGUGGGGUGGCGAGCGGCGGACGGGUGAGGAAUGCAUCGGAAUCUACCCUGUCGUGGGGGACAACGUAGGGAAACUUACGCUAAUACCGCAUACGACCUUCGGGUGAAAGCGGGGACUCGCAAGAGCCUCGCGCGAUUGGAUGAGCCGAUGUCCGAUUAGCUAGUUGGCGGGGUAAAGGCCCACCAAGGCGACGAUCGGUAGCUGGUCUGAGAGGACGACCAGCCACACUGGAACUGAGACACGGUCCAGACUCCUACGGGAGGCAGCAGUGGGGAAUAUUGGACAAUGGGGGCAACCCUGAUCCAGCCAUGCCGCGUGGGUGAAGAAGGCCUUCGG